GAGUAAUACGUAAGCAACCUGGCCUUUACAGGGGGAGUAACUGAUGGAAACGUCAGCUAAGACCGCAUAGGUACAGAGAUCGCAUGAUAACUGUAUUAAAAGUGCUACGGGACUGGUAGAGGAUGGGCUUACGGCGCAUUAGCUUGUUGGAGGGGUAACGGCCCACCAAGGCGACGAUGCGUAGCCGACCUGAGAGGGUGACCGGCCACACUGGGACUGAGACACGGCCCAGACUCCUACGGGAGGCAGCAUG
Molecule: ribosomal RNA, 253 nt
Filed under: uncultured bacterium
Lineage: Bacteria
Description: partial 16S ribosomal RNA
Rfam family: Bacterial small subunit ribosomal RNA
Source: RNAcentral